AGCGAACGCUGGCGGCAGGCUUAACACAUGCAAGUCGAGCGGGCAUCCUUGUGGUGUCAGCGGCAGACGGGUGAGUAACGCGUGGGAACGUGCCCUUCGUUUCGGAAUAACUCAGGGAAACUUGAGCUAAUACCGGAUACGUGCGAGAGCAGAAAGGUUUAUCUGCCGAAGGAUCGGCCGGCGUCUGAUUAGCUAGUUGGUGAGGUUAUGGCUCACCAAGGCGACGGUCAGUAGCUGGUCUGAGAGGAUGAUCAGCCACACUGGGACUGAGACACGGCCCAGACUCCUACGGGAGGCAGCAGUGGGGGAUAUUGGACAAUGGGGGCAACCCUGAUCCAGCCAUGCCGCGUGAGUGAUGACGGCCUUAGGGUUGUAAAGCUCUUUUCUCCGGGACGAUAAUGACGGUACCGGAGGAAUAAGCCCCGGCUAACUUCGUG
Molecule: ribosomal RNA, 437 nt
Filed under: uncultured bacterium
Lineage: Bacteria
Description: partial 16S ribosomal RNA
Rfam family: Bacterial small subunit ribosomal RNA
Source: RNAcentral